This 433-nucleotide ribosomal RNA is filed under the name uncultured bacterium. RNAcentral's name for it is "partial 16S ribosomal RNA". It matches the Rfam family "Bacterial small subunit ribosomal RNA", at positions 29 to 507 of the family's 1533-position model. The record is from RNAcentral.
AACGAACGCUGGCGGCAUGCCUAACACAUGCAAGUCGAACGAGACCUUCGGGUCUAGUGGCGCACGGGUGCGUAACGCGUGGGAACCUGCCCUUAGGUUCGGAAUAACUCCCCGAAAGGGGUGCUAAUACCGGAUAAUGUCUUCGGACCAAAGAUUUAUCGCCUUUGGAUGGGCCCGCGUUGGAUUAGCUAGUUGGUAGGGUAAAAGCCUACCAAGGCGACGAUCCAUAGCUGGUCUGAGAGGAUGAUCAGCCACACUGGGACUGAGACACGGCCCAGACUCCUACGCGAGGCAGCAGUGGGGAAUACUGGACAAUGGGCUAAGGCCUGAUCCAGCAAUGCCGCGUAAGUGAUGAAGGCCGUAGGGUUGUAAAGCUCGUUUAACCGGGAUGAUAAUGACAGUACCGGGAGAAUAAGCUCCGGCUAACUCCGUG